AUUCUAGCUCAAUUCUGAAGGCAGAGCAGAAAGGCCACCAGUCUCAGUGCCUCACUGAGGGAAGACCAAGGCCCGCCUUGGGGUCUGAUCAAAAGCUCCUGGGAGUUCCGCAGGCUUCAGGGGACAGCUGGGACUAAGGCAGAGCUGGUGGACACAGACUUGCAUUUGGCCAAAAGCGACCAUCAUUCCCAAAUAUAUCAGUGAGAGCCCCAUCCUCUCACGGAGAAAGGAAGCACCACCCAGAGCCUUCCCCCAAACUGAGGAGGUGGGUACAGAGUUAAGACAACCAAGGCAACCAUUUGACAGACGGGCUAACUGGGCCCCAGGUAAGUCAGUCCUUUGCCUAAGAACAUGUUGGGUUUCAAGUGGCAGAGUUAGGAGUAAAUCCGGAUUUCUGCCUCUAAAACUGGGUAUUAUACCUGCAUUAAGGAAUCAAAGUUAAUACUGACAGCAGUGGUAUUAACUGCUGAUGAAACCCCAUCUCUACAAAAAAUAGAAAAA
Molecule: non-coding RNA, 501 nt
Organism: Microcebus murinus (gray mouse lemur)
Lineage: Eukaryota; Metazoa; Chordata; Mammalia; Primates; Cheirogaleidae
Source: RefSeq, a predicted model, not a curated record